RNAcentral lists this ribosomal RNA (466 nucleotides) under uncultured Alphaproteobacteria bacterium. RNAcentral describes it as "bacterial SSU rRNA". It matches the Rfam family "Bacterial small subunit ribosomal RNA", at positions 9 to 521 of the family's 1533-position model. The record is from RNAcentral. Lineage: Bacteria; Pseudomonadati; Pseudomonadota; Alphaproteobacteria.
GAGUUUGAUCUUGGCUCAGAACGAACGCUGGCGGCAUGCCUAACACAUGCAAGUCGAACGAGACCUUCGGGUCUAGUGGCGCACGGGUGCGUAACGCGUGGGAAUCUGCCCUUGGGUUCGGAAUAACAGUUAGAAAUGACUGCUAAUACCGGAUAAUGACUUCGGUCCAAAGAUUUAUCGCCCAGGGAUGAGCCCGCGUAGGAUUAGCUAGUUGGUGAGGUAAAGGCUCACCAAGGCUACGAUCCUUAGCUGGUCUGAGAGGAUGAUCAGCCACACUGGGACUGAGACACGGCCCAGACUCCUACGGGAGGCAGCAGUGGGGAAUAUUGGACAAUGGGCGAAAGCCUGAUCCAGCAAUGCCGCGUGAGUGAUGAAGGCCUUAGGGUUGUAAAGCUCUUUUACCCGGGAUGAUAAUGACAGUACCGGGAGAAUAAGCUCCGGCUAACUCCGUGCCAGCAGCCGCAGU